This 258-nucleotide ribosomal RNA is filed under the name uncultured bacterium. RNAcentral describes it as "partial 16S ribosomal RNA". It matches the Rfam family "Bacterial small subunit ribosomal RNA", at positions 57 to 305 of the family's 1533-position model. The record is from RNAcentral.
GCAAGUCGAGGGGUAACAGAUAAAAAGCUUGCUUUUUAUGCUGACGACCGGCGCACGGGUGAGUAACGCGUAUGCAACCUACCUUUAACUGGAGGAUAGCCCCGAGAAAUCGGGAUUAAUACUCCAUAAUAUUAUUGAUAUCGCAUGGUAUUAUAAUUAAAGCUUCGGCGGUUAAAGAUGGGCAUGCGUGACAUGAGUUUGUUGGUAAGGUAACGGCUUACAAAGACUUCGAUGUCUAGGGGUUCUGAGAGGAUUAGC